This 164-nucleotide ribosomal RNA is filed under the name uncultured bacterium. RNAcentral's name for it is "partial 16S ribosomal RNA". It matches the Rfam family "Bacterial small subunit ribosomal RNA", at positions 355 to 511 of the family's 1533-position model. The record is from RNAcentral.
UAGGGAAUCUUCCACAAUGGACGAAAGUCUGAUGGAGCAACGCCGCGUGAGUGAAGAAGGGUUUCGGCUCGUAAAACUCUGUUGUAUGGGAAGAACAGCUAGAAUAGGAAAUGAUUUUAGUUUGACGGUACCAUACCAGAAAGGGACGGCUAAAUACGUGCCAG